AUACGGAGGGUGCAAGCGUUAAUCGGAAUUACUGGGCGUAAAGCGUACGUAGGCGGUUCGUUAAGUUAGAUGUGAAAGCCCCGGGCUUAACCUGGGAACUGCAUUUAAAACUGGCGAACUAGAGUUGAGUAGAGGGGAGUGGAAUUUCAGGUGUAGCGGUGAAAUGCGUAGAGAUCUGAAGGAACACCAGUGGCGAAGGCGGCUCCCUGGACUCGAACUGACGCUGAGGUACGAAAGCGUGGGUAGCAAACGGGAUUAGAAACCCUAGUAGUCC
This 274-nucleotide ribosomal RNA is filed under the name uncultured bacterium. RNAcentral's name for it is "partial 16S ribosomal RNA". It matches the Rfam family "Bacterial small subunit ribosomal RNA", at positions 523 to 796 of the family's 1533-position model. The record is from RNAcentral.